RNAcentral lists this ribosomal RNA (839 nucleotides) under Micromonospora sp. RNAcentral describes it as "bacterial SSU rRNA". It matches the Rfam family "Bacterial small subunit ribosomal RNA", at positions 63 to 919 of the family's 1533-position model. The record is from RNAcentral. Lineage: Bacteria; Bacillati; Actinomycetota; Actinomycetes; Micromonosporales; Micromonosporaceae.
CGAGCGGAAGGCCCUUCGGGGUACUCGAGCGGCGAACGGGUGAGUAACACGUGAGCAACCUGCCCUAGGCUUUGGGAUAACCCCGGGAAACCGGGGCUAAUACCGGAUAGGACCUUCGGACGCAUGUCUGGGGGUGGAAAGUUUUUCGGCCUGGGAUGGGCUCGCGGCCUAUCAGCUUGUUGGUGGGGUGAUGGCCUACCAAGGCGACGACGGGUAGCCGGCCUGAGAGGGCGACCGGCCACACUGGGACUGAGACACGGCCCAGACUCCUACGGGAGGCAGCAGUGGGGAAUAUUGCACAAUGGGCGGAAGCCUGAUGCAGCGACGCCGCGUGAGGGAUGACGGCCUUCGGGUUGUAAACCUCUUUCAGCAGGGACGAAGCGCAAGUGACGGUACCUGCAGAAGAAGCGCCGGCCAACUACGUGCCAGCAGCCGCGGUAAGACGUAGGGCGCGAGCGUUGUCCGGAUUUAUUGGGCGUAAAGAGCUCGUAGGCGGCUUGUCGCGUCGACUGUGAAAACCCGCGGCUCAACCGCGGGCCUGCAGUCGAUACGGGCAGGCUAGAGUUCGGUAGGGGAGACUGGAAUUCCUGGUGUAGCGGUGAAAUGCGCAGAUAUCAGGAGGAACACCGGUGGCGAAGGCGGGUCUCUGGGCCGAUACUGACGCUGAGGAGCGAAAGCGUGGGGAGCGAACAGGAUUAGAUACCCUGGUAGUCCACGCUGUAAACGUUGGGCGCUAGGUGUGGGGGGCCUCUCCGGUCCUCUGUGCCGCAGCUAACGCAUUAAGCGCCCCGCCUGGGGAGUACGGCCGCAAGGCUAAAACUCAAAGGAAUUGACGGGGG